GGGGUAAAACAUUCUAAAACAUUCUUUAUAUUUGCAGGGUAUUAAAAUUCCCCUGUGUACUGUAGUCAGGGAAGUAUAUGAUUAAGAGUAAAGAUCCUUUCUUCUCAACCCUGUCACUCGGAGUUUUUGUAUAUUUUUGAAAGAAAGUUAGCAUACCUUUUUAUCCUCAUAGGUUCUCUCAGAUCACUCAUUAUCCUUUAUAUAUCUCACUGAGGUUGUUUUAAUUUGCAAAAAUUCUUAAGCAUACUUACUUUGCAUUUAUUGCGUGAUCAAAACGGGAUCCGAGGAGGGGAAUGUCAUACUCUUAGAUCAAAGACUCUGGAAAUUAAAACUUUGUCAACUCUUGCUGGCAUAUUGCUUAUUAGAGGGACCAUAGGCUAUCAAUUUUUUUUCUCUCUCUUUCUUCUUCUUUUUUUUAAGUGGAUACCGAGGUAUCCCUAAUUCUACUGCCAGACACUUGUCCAUUUUUCUGCGAGGUUGUCGAGCACUUGCUCCUUUUUAUUUCCUCGAAAAUAUCUUUAUUUUUGCAUAGCCCGUGCCUCUAAUGCAAUAAUACUUCGGAAGAGUGAAUCUUUCUGAAUAAAUGUCUUGAUCUUAGGAGCAUGAUAAAUCUCUCAACAAGGGUCUAACUCAUUUUGAACAAACUCAAUACAGAGUAGAUAGCUUUUAUAAUCAUAAUUAAUAUUUUCAGUUUUAUCAGGCAUAUAAAACACUGAGGAUGGUAGCUAGAAUUUUAAAGAUUUUGAAAUAAAUUCUCCAAGCAACAAUGGUAUCAAGAAUAAGAAACUCUACCAUCUCACAUUUCACAUUGUCUUAAGUAACACAGGGUUUUAAAAUGAUUUUGAAUAAUUGCAAGUUUUCAGGAAAUAUCACAGAUUGAGAUUAAUCAUGAUUAGAAAUAUUUUAAUCUUUUUAAUUUGUCAUGUCGGAAAUAGUAUUCUGAAUAAUCCAAGAUAUGUGAAGUGUAAAGUAAAGUGUGCAGAGUGUGUACCUGAAUCGUGGAGUGGUGUAGUCGAAGUGUGUUUGGCAUGUCGAGGAUCUCCCCCAUACUUGUUUUCUGCUUUCUUGCACAAAAAAUAAAGUAGAGACACACGAGACAUAAUAAUAAUAAUAAUAAUAAUAAUAAUAUUCUUUAUUAAUCCUGAGGCAUUUAUUACAAAUAACUAGUAGCAAGCUGACGAUAGUAGUAAACUGAUGAUAAUAGUAAACCUAAACCGAAUUUAAAGAUAAAUAACUAAGAUGCAUUGCCUCAAGGUCUAAUCUAGAUAACUUAGUGGCGCUCUAAUUCCUUGAUCUUCUUGUUGGCACUAGCAAGAUCCUGCCUAAGGCCUAGUAUGAUGGUGUUGUGGUUAGAGAGCUGCCUAGUGAGGGAAUUAAUCGAGGACUGGAGGUCUAUGAUAACUCUGUCUAGUCUGCGAACGUCCUCAUCAAUAUCUAUUAUAGUCUUGCGACGCUUGGGAGGUGUCUCAAAAGCAUUGAGAGCGUGCUUCGGGGCUGCCUUUGGAG
Molecule: long non-coding RNA, 1506 nt
Filed under: Sorghum bicolor (sorghum)
Lineage: Eukaryota; Viridiplantae; Streptophyta; Magnoliopsida; Poales; Poaceae
Description: long non-coding RNA (SBIC_LNC000854)
Source: RNAcentral